Molecule: transfer RNA, 98 nt
Filed under: Chloroflexota bacterium
Lineage: Bacteria; Bacillati; Chloroflexota
Description: Chloroflexi bacterium tRNA-Sec
Rfam family: Selenocysteine transfer RNA
Source: RNAcentral
GGGAGCGGAUGGGUCCUGGUGGGUCCCGCAGUCUUCAAAACUGUUGCGAGGUAGCUAGCGCUGUCUUGGGUGGGUUCGACUCCCUCGCGCUCCCGCCA